This 694-nucleotide ribosomal RNA is filed under the name uncultured bacterium. Its description in RNAcentral is "bacterial SSU rRNA". It matches the Rfam family "Bacterial small subunit ribosomal RNA", at positions 111 to 823 of the family's 1533-position model. The record is from RNAcentral.
UAACGCGUGGGUAACCUGCCUCACNCNGGGGGAUAACAGUUGGAAACGACCGCUAAUACCGCAUAACCCGCUAGGGCCGCAUGGCCCGGACGGAAAAGAUUUAUCGGUGUGAGAUGGACCCGCGUUGGAUUAGCUAGUUGGCAGGGUAACGGCCUACCAAGGCGACGAUCCAUAGCCGGCCUGAGAGGGUGAACGGCCACAUUGGGACUGAGACACGGCCCAAACUCCUACGGGAGGCAGCAGUGGGGAAUAUUGCACAAUGGGGGAAACCCUGAUGCAGCGACGCCGCGUGAGUGAAGAAGUAUUUCGGUAUGUAAAGCUCUAUCAGCAGGGAAGAAAAUGACGGUACCUGACUAAGAAGCCCCGGCUAACUACGUGCCAGCAGCCGCGGUAAUACGUAGGGGGCAAGCGUUAUCCGGAUUUACUGGGUGUAAAGGGAGCGUAGACGGUUAAGCAAGUCAGAAGUGAAAGGCUGGGGCUCAACCCCGGGACUGCUUUUGAAACUGUUUAACUAGAGUGCUGGAGAGGUAAGCGGAAUUCCUAGUGUAGCGGUGAAAUGCGUAGAUAUUAGGAGGAACACCAGUGGCGAAGGCGGCUUACUGGACAGUAACUGACGUUGAGGCUCGAAAGCGUGGGGAGCAAACAGGAUUAGAUACCCUGGUAGUCCACGCCGUAAACAAUGAAUACUAGGUGU